GUGGUUUUUGUUUUGCCCUGAGAAUCUGCUCGCUGCCAGUUCGCGACACUUCCCAGUGGGUAUUAUACGUAUACUUUUUCGAAACCGAGAGGAGCCAGCAGAACUGACGAACAGGAUCAAAAUAUCCUGGGAAAAUUAGUAUCAGGGCGUAUUUGCUUACAAGCUUUUAAACAUUCUCUAUUAGAAUCUAGUAUUCAAAUACACUUUGAAUUAUAGCAUUCCGAAUAUUUGUCUUCAUAAUAAUCAUGCCAUCGUUUAAUAAUGAUUAAUAGAUUAUAUAAUGAAUAUGUAUAAGAAUAAAAUUUAAAGUGUGAUAGAUGUUUCUCAUUGUCCAUAGUCAACAAAUAUAAUGUAUAUCCUUAUUUUAUAUUUACUUUUUUGCAUUAUUUAAAUAAUGAGCAUUUGAUCACCUGCCUGCAUGCCUGCAAAUGUUUUUCUGUCGAUUAGCUUUGGUCAAAACGAAUCCCUAUACAACGUUAUGAACUAUUCUAAUUGGAAUUCUCUCACGCCAUACGAUCGCAUGAGGGUCGCGUUGCUAUCGUUAUUUCCUACCACCACAUGACCUCAAGGAUCGCGUCGCACGCUUGCAAGGGCAUCUCCUUCCCUCUCUCGCUCCCCGUUUCACUAUAUCUCUGCUGCUGCGCGUGUCACCCUCGCCCCUAAGCUAAACCUCACCCUUGGAGGAUUGGCGCGCGUUUGGUUGCGCGUUCGACCUUUUGGCCAAAUGCUGGUAUCGGACAGGCGGGCACUUACGAGUCAAUAAAUUGUGGGUCAUUGGUAUAAGUUUUAAGAUUUCACGACAGGAAUUCGACCGGGGAGGAAAAGCGGGAGUAAAUUGUGUAAGUUGGAAGAGAUAUUAGUUUUAGUGUCAGUAAGAAAGUUCACCAAUCGUUGGCCCUUAAAUAGUUCUGACUCUCUCUUUAGAGCUAUAUAUAUACACGAAUUCCAUAUGCACUUAUUGAGGGCCUCUAAUUCGAAUGGAAGAAUGUAGCGUGACAUAUGAUCUGAUGGUUCUAUGGAGGGAAGAGUUCGCUGAAAGUGAAGAAAAAAUAAAAGCCCUGUUCCUUUGGUAAAUGAGUAGGAAAAGUGACCUCCUAACAACAUUUAAUUAGUAAAUCUUUUUUGAUUUUAUCUAUUGCCAGGUGUCAAUUACUAUACCCCAUUUUAAUCUCCUUGGAGCUCUAUUGAUCAACUGUCUAAACUAUUCUCACUAUUUAUUAUAGGCUCUAAUCAAUCCGCACCACCCAAUCCCGAUGCCGAUAAACUUAGCUGCUGCCCGCAUUGACCUUGCAAAAGAAACAAAAACUUUAACCUGAAGUUCCCAGGAUCAACUCGCAUCACGCUUAAGGCUAAACGUAAAAAUUCCCAUUUUAAUUCGGCAGAAAACUCAUGAAAGAAUCUCACAGCAACAAUUUGAUACUUUUGGUCGCGCUAUGGGGCAACAUUUUUGUCUGGAUUUGUCUUUGCAGGUUUCAAAAUGCGGGCAGCGGAAAUAGAAUCGAGAAUGGGAAACAAACACGCGAUCGGCGUUGAGCAAAAGAAAGAAGCCACCCCACAGUAGGAGAGAUGAUGCGACUCAGCCUUAGUCCGUAAAUGCUUGCGUGUGAAUAAUCAGACAACAUUUUGCAUUGCGAUUGCGCCAAUUAUGUGGGCACUAUUAUGGUGCGGGAAUAUCCUCGGGUGGGGUGUGCGACAGAGAGUUUUCCUGCCGGCUCAAGGCCUUGAGGGUUAAGAAGAGUCAACGAGGAUAGCAUCUGAUCGAUACGAAAAAGUCAAUGAGUCAAGGGAGCAAAGGAUCCAGACAGAGUUAAUGAGUAGCCAAGAUCUCGGCAAUAGAGAUUAUAUCAAUACCUUGAAUGUCUUGAUUUGAUCUUAAUUAUCUAAAUAGACAUAGCAAGAUGGAAAAAAUACUAAUGAGAGGUCAUGGAAUGAGGGUUAAUGUUUAUGUUUAAGAAAUAUGAAUAUUUGGCAAUUGUUUUUUUUUUUUUUUUUUCUUUACUACGUUCUUUUUGUAAUAAUAGUAAUCAUUUUAGUGAUCUGCUCUAAAAUCAAAUACAGAUUUGCAUUCUGGGUUUCUUCAUCAACUUGUGAAACUUGGUACAGUUUGUCACACAAACCAAAUUGCGCUGCCUAAACUUUUGUUGUUGAAUGCGAGUGCCACUGCGACAAUUUUUCAUAUUUUUUCCAUAACCAUUAAGAUACACACAGACACACAGGCGCAUAAACAUACACAAACACGAGCCGCACUUGCACAUAUUUGUUUUGAACCCAGUGACAGUCUCUACUCCGCAUCAGCAUCAGCAUCAGCUCGGCAUCAUCAUCGUUCAGCAUUCAGCAUUCUCAUCCUCCAGUUGAAUAUUAUCACAUUGUAUUACGAUAUACUUAUGCAUAUAUGUAUGUGUUUUUUUUUUUUUUUUUUUUUUUUUUUUGUUUAUUUUGCUCUUUGCUUUUUGCCAUGCCUCUCAGCAUACAUAUCUACGUUCACAGACACACACAAGCAUGCAUAUAUAUGUAUAUGUGUGUAUAUAUGUAUAUUAUAUACGAUCGUAUACCUCGCACUCGUAUGUAAUUGUGAUCUGCGCCAACGAAAUUCCAAUAUGGCGUGCACAAACACACACACACACAAACACACACAUGUACAUAUACAUAUAUAUGUACGUAGUGUCAGAGUCCAGAGUUGGGCAUAGCAGUUCACCAAUACAGUUGCAUCCAAUUAAGCUUCGUUAAGAUCAAUUUAAAAUCCCGCAUAAAAUAUCAAAUAGUUUUUGUACUUUAGUUCCAUUUCUGCUGUCGCUAUUUGUUGUCGGCUGUCGGGCAGACGCUCUCCAAGCCACAGCCAGCCAGCCAGCCAGCAACAACAGCUACGUUUCGAAAUCCGCAGCCCACGUUGCCCAUUGUCCACUUGUUGCCUGUCCACUUGUUACCCCCUUUAGCAUAGCACUUUACAUGAUGAGACUCUGCGCAGGCUCCAUAACAACGGAUGUGCGGACGUCUUUGACAUCUGACCCGUACGAUCACGAGCUAUAAGAGUAUUUACAGCCCUCAGACACGGCAACUGCCUAGCUGACUCGCGGUCAUAAAUGUAUUUCUAAAAAUAUUCCAAUACUUGAGUCGUGCUUUGCACGUUAGCUAAAUCGCAGCUUAUAUAAAUAUUGGUCUAAUACUAAUCUAAUAAACACUGAAUUAUGUAAACAGUUCUGUAAACUAAGAAAAUAUAAAUAUGAUAAAUAAAUUUUCUAUUU
This is a long non-coding RNA of Drosophila mojavensis, 3242 nucleotides long. RefSeq lists it as uncharacterized. Lineage: Eukaryota; Metazoa; Arthropoda; Insecta; Diptera; Drosophilidae. The transcript is spliced from 2 exons. The record is from RefSeq and is a predicted model, not a curated record.